UACGUAGGGUGCAAGCGUUGUCCGGAAUUAUUGGGCGUAAAGAGCUUGUAGGCGGUUUGUCGCGUCUGCUGUGAAAAUCCGGGGCUCAACCCCGGACUUGCAGUGGGUACGGGCAGACUAGAGUGUGGUAGGGGAGACUGGAAUUCCUGGUGUAGCGGUGAAAUGCGCAGAUAUCAGGAGGAACACCAAUGGCGAAGGCAGCUCGCUGGAACGGUACUGACGCUGAGGCGCGAAAGCGUGGGGAGCAAACAGG
RNAcentral lists this ribosomal RNA (253 nucleotides) under uncultured bacterium. RNAcentral's name for it is "partial 16S ribosomal RNA". It matches the Rfam family "Bacterial small subunit ribosomal RNA", at positions 524 to 776 of the family's 1533-position model. The record is from RNAcentral.